CGUAGGUGAACCUGCGGAAGGAUCAUUAUUGGAUUUUGAAACUUCAGGCUGCUGCUGGCUCUCCUCGGAGGGCAUGUGCACGCUUGUUGUCCAUUAUUUCUCCCACUGUGCACAAAUUGUAGACCUUUCAGUAGGCCUAUGUUGUUUUUCACAAUCUCUGAAUGUAAUAGAAUGGUUUUGAAUCUUGGGAAAUACAAUACAACUUUCAGCAACGGAUCUCUUGGCUCUC
RNAcentral lists this unclassified non-coding RNA (229 nucleotides) under plant metagenome. RNAcentral's name for it is "partial contains small subunit ribosomal RNA, internal transcribed spacer 1, and 5.8S ribosomal RNA". The record is from RNAcentral.